RNAcentral lists this ribosomal RNA (1050 nucleotides) under Triticum aestivum (bread wheat). RNAcentral describes it as "partial small subunit ribosomal RNA". The record is from RNAcentral. Lineage: Eukaryota; Viridiplantae; Streptophyta; Magnoliopsida; Poales; Poaceae.
AUCCUGCCCCUGGACCUGCUCUACGGCCUCCUGCUCCGCCUCCCCGCCAAGCCGCUCUGCCGCUUCCGUUCCGUCUGCAGGGCGUGGCAGUCAUUGCUCUGCCACUCGGACUUUAUCGCCGCUCACGACCACCGUCACCCUUGCCAACGCCGCGCCGUCGGCGUGUACCACUAUGGCCGGCCCUGGCCUGAAAUCCUCGUCCUGGAUAUGGACACCGGCUGCCUCAUCAAAAAUCUAGGAGCCAACAGCACCACCCACAACCACCGUCCCUUCAGUCCUGACCGAGCGGUCUGCGUGCAGGGCUUGGGCAUGCGGCUCUACCUCCACGACCACGUUACGGGUGCCGUCUCCCUCUUGCCAAGACCUGCAUCGCCACGGGACUGUGUUGUGGUCUCGUACUCACUAGGCCGCGUGCCCUCCACCGGAGAGUACAAGGUGCUGGUCGUGGUCACCCUCGUGCAACAUCAUGGGCAGGUCUGCAAGAUCCUAACCCUCACCGACGGCCAGCAGCACUGGAGGGCAACAGGCAAACCUCUUUUCGGGGUGGCAUCGCCGCUGACGAAGUCGUAUACCACCUGCCGGGAGACGACCGUAGUCGAGGGGGUCGCCUACUUCCUAGUUGUCGACGAACGGAUGAACAAGAACGCCGCCCCCGACUGGAUCAUGGGGUACCACCUGGACAGUGAGGCGUGGCGAUCGGCCGCCAUCAAAGGCCCGGCGGGCACCCUCGAUGUUGGCCUUGCCGGGUUGGACGGACGUCUCGUUGUGUGCCACGACGACCGCCGCACCCGCGUGCAGUUGUGGUCUCUCGUGGAACCCGAUCAGUCCCUCUGGUCCAUGCUGCGCUUUCGCGAGUAUGUCGAGAAGCCACUGGCGGUGCUCGAAGAUGGGAAGAUUGUGAUGAGGAUGCGGGUGAAGUCGGCGUCGGGGUCCCCCUUCCCGAACACGGUCUUGCGUUUCUACGACCCACGAACCGGAACUUCCACGGACGCGGCGAGGAUGAUGGACUGCCACGACGUGAGCAUUUACACAUGUAGCAUGUUGCACUCA